Molecule: long non-coding RNA, 2896 nt
Organism: Sarcophilus harrisii (Tasmanian devil)
Lineage: Eukaryota; Metazoa; Chordata; Mammalia; Dasyuromorphia; Dasyuridae
Source: Ensembl
GGGCGCUCCCGAGGGAAAAGCCAACACGGGCCCUGAGAAAAGCUGGCGGCUCUUUGGGGACCCCCAGCGCCGCCUGGCACGGACCCCCUCCUCUCCCCCUCCCUUGCCCAGGCUCCCUCCCUGUACGAACCCCUCGAAUUUGUCCUGUGCGGGCCUUCGUUUCCAAGAAAUUCCUAAUGUGCCUCCCAAUAAUCCACUCUGAAAUCGUAGCAAGAAGCCCUUCUCACAGAAGAGGAAACUGAGUCCUGCAAAAGUUCCGCAGCGCUUGAGAAGUCCGACGAACAUGGCCCAUGGGAGAGCCUCAGUAAGUCCCUGCUGAGCCCAAUGGAAAGGAAUGUACCCUGCGGAGCCCCCAUCGGAGGAGCACCAUGUUCAGUUCCCAGCGGCACAUUUUAGGAAGAACAUUGAUCAGUUGGACCGAGUCCAGAGCAGGGCGACCCAGAUGGCAGAGGCCCCCACGAGGACUGGGACGGGGAGGCCUGAGAGCAGCUGACUUGGGGAGAUCCAACUCAUUGUCUGCCAGUCUUUCAUAGGUUUUCAUCCAGGAGCUAAGCUCUGCUCUAUCUCGGAAGCAGAAUUAGGAACCAAAAAUGAUAAGUCACAUUUCUUUAUUUCUAUCCGGUUUGCAAAGCACUUGAUGCCUUCUCUAUCCGUUUCCAGGGAGGCCUCCUGGGAGACCAGUUGGAACCCAAUGCUGGUUACUAACUUCACAAAAGGACUUUUUUUUCCUUUACAAAAUAAUAAAGGAUUUAAAGGUGGAACAAAUCCUACAAAUGGGAUUUUCAAAUGGAAGGAACAUCCUCAUUCCAUCCAUUAAAAAAUCCUAGGGAAGAGAGGGAGGGGGAAAGUCGGAACAGAAGUGAGUGCAAGGGAUAAUGUUGUAAAAAAAAUUACCCAGACAUGGGUUCUGUCAAUAAAAAGUUAUAAUUAAAAAAAAAAGAUAACUAGAAAAUUAAAAAAAAUCCUAGGAGGGGGCACUAAGAUGAUCCCCAUUUUACAGAGGAGGAAACUGUGACCCAAAGAAAUUCGAUGAUUUACUCAGGGUUGAGCAGACCAUUAGGCGUCUGAAGUGGGAUUCAAGCCCAUAUUUUGCCUUAUUCAUUUCUUUAUUCCUUGAACCUUGCUAGAGUGUAUAGAGGUUGUGUGGGGCAGAGGCUGGUUUGGACUGGAUGGAAGGAAAACUCCCUAACAUGUAGAGCUCUGCCAGUGAACCUUUGGCCCCAGGGGGUGAUGGGCUCCGUCGCUGAUGAUCUUGCAACAAAGGCUGGGAGACCAUUUGUCAGGGGAGUGGUAGAGGGAGUUCUGGAUCAGGUAAGGGUCGGAAAAUAUUCAUCGCUAAUGGAUCCACACGCAUUUAUUAAGCAUCUACUGUGUGCCAGGUACCGAGAACACAGACCAAAGAAAACAGAAAAGCAGCCGGUCUCUAUUGGGAAGAGGCUGGGAUUCCACCACAGAAGAUAACAGGAUGGGGCAAGACUGGAUAGCCGGUCUCUAGCGUCACCUCCAGUGGGACUCAGGAUUAAGCUGGGGAUCCUUCGGCCUGCAGGAGAACAGCCUUCCCGAAGCAGCUGGCGCACCCCAGCCUAAGAAUUGGGGGCUUUUUAAGGAUCUUGCUUUUUCUUGAGAGACCGAGACCAGAGGCGGGGUGAUGUCCCAAGUAUCCCGGGCUUAAGCUUCAGAGGCAGAUAAAGCAGGUUCUCUAAGGGCGAAGCUGGUGGGACAUCCCGUUCAGCAGCCUAUCUGUUGUCUUUCAGAGGGUCCGACUCCCACCAGACGUUGAAGUCCUUGGGAUCAGGGACUGCCUUUGGUCACUCUUUGUAGCUCCACUGCCUAGCACAGUGGCUGGCACAUAGUAGGAACUUAAUAAAUGUUGCUGACUGACUUAACUGACUUUAUUUUUAAGAGCUUUCAGAUGGGCAGGUGUGGAUGUUCACUUUUAAGGAGAUUCAGAAUCUGAAUGUGUCUUGGCUAACUGCGUGACUUUAGGCCAAAACACUUAACAUCCCCGGGACUCAGUUUCCCCAUCCAAAAAAAUGGGGCUGAUAAUACUUGCACUACUUAAUUUGCAGAGUUGAAGGAAAUUUUUUUAUGUCUGAAGGCAUGAUGAAAGCUCACCUCAAUUAUUAUAAUUAUAAGCAUUCCUCCACCAAUGUUCUCUGAUGCAUCUUGGGGAAGUGGAGGGGAUCCUGAGCUCCCAAAAGCCAUGACGAUGGAAGCCAAGCUCCGGCAGGCCCAGCUACGGAUGUCGGUCAUUCAAGAACGGCCUCACAAAGAUCACAGAGUUAUAGAGAGAGUAGGGGUCUGUUCCACGAAAUCUAAAGUUAUAAUCAUGAUUAACCCUGCUCCCAUCCCCGCCUACUUCCAGUCUGUGGCUAACAGGUGCAGCUUCUGGAAGGCUGCCCCACCCUCCAGGUCCUUCCUCUCUUCUAGACCUUCCAACCUUCCCAGCCUCCUCAAAGUCCCUCUGAGACCCACGGCUCCAGAAGAACAGAAAAAUCAUUUUUGUCAACAGGAACUUGACUUUGGAAGCUGGUCUGAAAAAGAGGUGGGGGUUGUCUCCACCAUCUCAAGAUGAGCCCAGCUGUAGGUGCUGUGCCAACCGCCAAAAGCUCAUGUGAUGUCAAGACUCUGAAGAGCACCAGAGUGGGAUGACUACGAUGAGGUGGAUGGAAAGUACAGCAACCACAAAAAAAUCAAAGAGGAAUGUUUCAAAAUGACCAAGGACAAGCUUGGCAGCCCCAAAAAGGCUUCCACCACACGUUGGCAGAGCUAGGGGAGGGUGCCAUGGGUGGAGAGCUGUAAAUCUAUUGUCAGCUUUUUUUUUUUUCAAUAUAUUCAUCAGUUUUGCUGAUUUUUCCCCCUCUUUUUUUUUUUAAUCAUCGUUAUAAGGGACGAG